RNAcentral lists this ribosomal RNA (281 nucleotides) under Clostridioides difficile. Its description in RNAcentral is "partial 16S ribosomal RNA". It matches the Rfam family "Bacterial small subunit ribosomal RNA", at positions 1136 to 1416 of the family's 1533-position model. Lineage: Bacteria; Bacillati; Bacillota; Clostridia; Peptostreptococcales; Peptostreptococcaceae. The record is from RNAcentral.
CACUCUAGAGAGACUGCCAGGGAUAACCUGGAGGAAGGUGGGGAUGACGUCAAAUCAUCAUGCCCCUUAUGCUUAGGGCUACACACGUGCUACAAUGGGUAGUACAGAGGGUUGCCAAGCCGUAAGGCGGAGCUAAUCCCUUAAAGCUACUCUUAGUUCGGAUUGUAGGCUGAAACUCGCCUACAUGAAGCUGGAGUUACUAGUAAUCGCAGAUCAGAAUGCUGCGGUGAAUGCGUUCCCGGGUCUUGUACACACCGCCCGUCACACCACGGGAGUUGGAG